Molecule: non-coding RNA, 45 nt
Organism: Picea glauca (white spruce)
Lineage: Eukaryota; Viridiplantae; Streptophyta; Pinopsida; Pinales; Pinaceae
Source: Rfam
GUAUUGGUGUCUUUAGACACCACCUUUUCAUCUUCAAAAUUUUGU